Molecule: small RNA, 460 nt
Filed under: Pongo abelii (Sumatran orangutan)
Lineage: Eukaryota; Metazoa; Chordata; Mammalia; Primates; Hominidae
Description: processed transcript
Source: RNAcentral
CCUAUGAAAGUGGUGUUAACCUCUUUGAUACUGCCGAAGUCUAUGCUGCUGGAAAGGCUGAAGUGAUUCUGGGGAGCAUCAUCAAGAAGAAAGGCUGGAGGAAGUAACUUGACAUGAAGCUGAUUAUCCCCACACACAUGCAUUUAUGUUUGCUGUUUAUUUUAUUAGCUCUGGAUGCAAAGAAAUGAUGAAACAAGAAGACUUUGGGAUAAAUACCCCAAAGCUUUCUUAUCUGAACACAUUUAGUCAGCAUCUCUCCUGUGUGCCCAGGAACCCUGUUAUCUGGCUAUUCAGAACAGUGCUUCAUCUGCUAUCCUUGAGAAACAUAAGGGGCUGUGCUUACACAUCCUUUUCCAUCAUCUUCUGUAGCCGAAGAUAUAGUGGUAAUAAGGGAAGCUAUAACAUCUAUGGGCAGUGGGGAGGUAAUACUUCCCCAUUUCACUAUAGAUUUCAGCCCCAA